This 1436-nucleotide ribosomal RNA is filed under the name uncultured organism. RNAcentral's name for it is "16S ribosomal RNA". It matches the Rfam family "Bacterial small subunit ribosomal RNA". The record is from RNAcentral.
GCUUAACACAUGCAAGUCGAGGGGCAUCAGGAAGAAAGCUUGCUUUCUUUGCUGGCGACCGGCGCACGGGUGAGUAACACGUAUCCAACCUGCCCUUUACUCGGGGAUAGCCUUUCGAAAGAAAGAUUAAUACCCGAUGGCAUAAUGAUUCCGCAUGGUUUCAUUAUUAAAGGAUUCCGGUAAAGGAUGGGGAUGCGUUCCAUUAGGUUGUUGGUGAGGUAACGGCUCACCAAGCCUUCGAUGGAUAGGGGUUCUGAGAGGAAGGUCCCCCACAUUGGAACUGAGACACGGUCCAAACUCCUACGGGAGGCAGCAGUGAGGAAUAUUGGUCAAUGGGCGCUAGCCUGAACCAGCCAAGUAGCGUGAAGGAUGAAGGCUCUAUGGGUCGUAAACUUCUUUUAUAUAAGAAUAAAGUGCAGUAUGUAUACUGUUUUGUAUGUAUUAUAUGAAUAAGGAUCGGCUAACUCCGUGCCAGCAGCCGCGGUAAUACGGAGGAUCCGAGCGUUAUCCGGAUUUAUUGGGUUUAAAGGGAGCGUAGGUGGACUGGUAAGUCAGUUGUGAAAGUUUGCGGCUCAACCGUAAAAUUGCAGUCGAUACUGUCAGUCUUGAGUACAGUAGAGGUGGGCGGAAUUCGUGGUGUAGCGGUGAAAUGCUUAGAUAUCACGAAGAACUCCGAUUGCGAAGGCAGCUCACUGGACUGCAACUGACACUGAUGCUCGAAAGUGUGGGUAUCAAAACAGGAUUAGAUACCCUGGUAGCCCACACAGUAAACGAUGAAUACUCGCUGUUUGCGAUAUACAGUAAGCGGCCAAGCGAAAGCAUUAAGUAUUCCACCUGGGGAGUACGCCGGCAACGGUGAAACUCAAAGGAAUUGACGGGGGCCCGCACAAGCGGAGGAACAUGUGGUUUAAUUCGAUGAUACGCGAGGAACCUUACCCGGGCUUAAAUUGCAGUGGAAUGAUGUGGAAACAUGUCAGUGAGCAAUCACCGCUGUGAAGGUGCUGCAUGGUUGUCGUCAGCUCGCGCCGUGAGGGGUCGGCUUAAGUGCCAUAACGAGCGCAACCCUUAUCUUUAGUUACUAACAGGUUAUGCUGAGGACUCUAGAGAGACUGCCGUCGUAAGAUGUGAGGAAGGUGGGGAUGACGUCAAAUCAGCACGGCCCUUACGUCCGGGGCUACACACGUGUUACAAUGGGGGGUACAGAAGGCAGCUAGCGGGUGACCGUAUGCUAAUCCCAAAAGCCUCUCUCAGUUCGGAUCGAAGUCUGCAACCCGACUUCGUGAAGCUGGAUUCGCUAGUAAUCGCGCAUCAGCCACGGCGCGGUGAAUACGUUCCCGGGCCUUGUACACACCGCCCGUCAAGCCAUGGGAGCCGGGGGUACCUGAAGUACGUAAACGCAAGGAUCGUCCUAGGGUAAAACUGGUGACUGGGGCUAA